AAGCAGAGAGAAAUGGAUGUUUGG
This 24-nucleotide non-coding RNA is filed under the name Arabidopsis thaliana (thale cress). The record is from RNAcentral. Lineage: Eukaryota; Viridiplantae; Streptophyta; Magnoliopsida; Brassicales; Brassicaceae.